AGAAGCUAUUCCCAGAUCCAGGCAUGAGAAGCUUCUGUCAGCUGUAUUGAACCUGGCUAUGAGCACUCCAGCUGAAAACAACAACCACCAUUCUUUUAACCUUCAAUAUUUACUUCACUUAGGUGCCAUGCAUCAGUCAAUGUACAGGGUGGACCUGCACUGGGGAUGAAUUAGGGCUGUGUAGUAAAGGAUACUAUUGUG
Molecule: long non-coding RNA, 201 nt
Organism: Mauremys reevesii (Reeves's turtle)
Lineage: Eukaryota; Metazoa; Chordata; Testudines; Geoemydidae
Exons: 3
Source: RefSeq, a predicted model, not a curated record